AUUCGACACUAAACGGUACGCGUGCCGAACAGUCUCGAGGGAGAUGCGCCCUGCCUCCUGGCAAAAAACAACAAAUGAAAAAGCGUGUGGCAGGUUCAGUCUCGAAGCACGCAGUUUCU
Molecule: small RNA, 119 nt
Organism: Bacteroidales bacterium Barb6XT
Lineage: Bacteria; Pseudomonadati; Bacteroidota; Bacteroidia; Bacteroidales
Rfam family: RT-3 RNA
Source: Rfam